AAUGGCAAUAAGAAAUGGUUCAAGUAUUGAUUUGAAUCGAGCAGCGUUUCGAUAUGAUUGCACCAUCGACUACAACAUUUGCCAACAUUGUGGCGCCACCAGAGUUCGCGUUUCUUGCUUUAUGGCGAAACACUAGAAUCACGACAUUUUCUAGCGAACACUCAAAAAUACAAUGCCUGUUUCCAAAUGACUUCAUGCUCUCAUGUUAAACAAUUCAUGUACAUUUUAUUAAUAUGUGAGCGUGAUUAAUAAAUAUACGUGUAGAGCAGACAACAAUGCCACGAAAACGCAAGGGGGGUAAUUGGAGUCGUCGAACACUCAAAUCUAGAGGCAUGUAGGAUAGAAGAGCACAAAGAUCAGAUGAAGAAAGGCAACAAAGCAAUGCAGAUGUCCGUGUAAGCAUGGCGCAGUUACGUGCAUCACAAUUGCAAGAGGCACUAGAUGAGCGAAACCAGCAAAGACAAUUAGAACGAAGAGAAGCGCGCAGAUUCGUAGUCACCAGACGAAGAGGAAUCGACCGACAACGUCAACUAGUACCUCGAGCAUUUACAUCACAUUCAUUUCUGCACUUAGCAUUGGUGGCCAGUGGUACAUUGGACAAAGAAUGCCGGCACUGCCAUGCCUUUAAAUUUAAAAAUGAGCCGAUCGGGAUGUGGUGCUCGUCAGGAAAAGUAAAACUCCCAGAAAUUGAAACACCGCCGGAACCAUUGCACGGCUUCCUUAUUGGAACUGAUCUUCGCUGUUCUUGCAGUCAAUGCGAAAAUUCAAUUCAUGUUUUCAAAUGACAUCGUUUGGAGCAACGGAAAAAGUUAAAAAUACUGCUGUAAAUAUGCAAAAAUGUAAUUCCACAUUUAAAAUCAAAGGCCAAGUUUACCAAACGAA
Drosophila mojavensis is the source of this 882-nucleotide long non-coding RNA. RefSeq lists it as uncharacterized. The record is from RefSeq and is a predicted model, not a curated record. Lineage: Eukaryota; Metazoa; Arthropoda; Insecta; Diptera; Drosophilidae. The transcript has 2 exons.